ACAAUAAAUAACAAUAUAGGGCUCUUUUGGGUCUUAUAAUUGGAAUGAGUACAAUUUAAAUCCCUUAACGAGGAUCAAUUGGAGGGCAAGUCUGGUGCCAGCAGCCGCGGUAAUUCCAGCUCCAAUAGCGUAUAUUAAAGUUGUUGCCGUUAAAAAGCUCGNAGUCGAACUUCGGCCUCUGCCGCCCGGUCCGCCUAUUUGGGUGUGUACUGGAGCGGUGGAGGCUUACCUCGUGGUGAGCAAUCAUACCCUUUACUGGGCGUGGUUGGGAACCAUGAUUUUUACUUUGAAAAAAUUAGAGNGUUCAAAGCAGGCUUACGCCCGAAUACAUUAGCAUGGAAUAAUAAAAUAGGACGUGCGGUUCUAUUUUGUUGGUUUCUAGGAUCGCCGUAAUGAUUAAUAGGGAUAGUUGGGGGCAUUCGUAUUCAAUUGCUAGAGGUGAAAUUCUUGGAUUUAUUGAAGACGAACUACUGCGAAAGCAUUUGCCAAGGAUGUUUUCAUUGAUCAAGAACGAAGGUUAGGGGAUCGAAAACGAUCAGAUACCGUUGUAGUCUUAACAGUAAACGAUGCCGACUAGGGAUCGGACGAGGAUUUUUAAUGACUCGUUCGGCACCUGAAGAGAAAUCUUUAAGUCUAGGUUCGGGGGGGAGUAUGGUCAACUUGUGCCAUCGANAAGGUAGAACAAGCNUUANUUCGAGAUCAUUCUCGGGCAACACUUGCAAAUUGCGGCGACUUCUNNAAGCUCAGAGUACCAAGCAUCAUCUGAAAAGUUGAUGUGGCUAGCCUUAGUUGGCUGGGUACGGUAAGAAUCUCUGAGAUUGGACGAGCGCGCAGCCAAGUCCGUCAGUAACUUUAGCACGUCUACAUUGACUUGUAUAGCAAAUUGUUACGCCGGAUGCAGUCCACAGACUAGAUGCAAGUGGGUGAAAGUAACUAUUGAAGUAUAUAGUUACUUCAUCUAAGAUAUAGUCGGUCUAGUUUCGCAAGAUACUAUGUAAAACGCGCAAGGCUGAAACUUAAAGGAAUUGACGGAAGGGCACCACCAGGUGUGAACGCAAGUUUCAACUACUAAAGCCGUAGUUAACUCUGCACCUAACAGGGUACUCGAAAGAGUUGUGGUUGUCUAUACGGACCCUAGUGUGCACUCCUAGUGCAUGCAAGACUCUCAAAUUGCGGGAAACUUCUGUAAGUUAGAUGGUACUAAGUCAAGCAAUUUCACUCCUUGAUGGCGAGAUAUAAUCAAUCUCGGUAUAGUCAAAACCCAUCUACAUUGAACGAUCCGCAGCCUAGUAUAAAUUAUGAUACAGGGUUCAGAGGCCAAAUGAAAGUCGGCUGACCAGUAAUGGCAGCUUAAGAUAUGGUCCAAGCUUGCUUGAAAUGGCAAAGUAUNAAUAUCGGGAGCCUGCGGCUUAAUUUGACUCAACACGGGGAAACUCACCAGGUCCAGACACGACAAGGAUUGACAGAUUGAUAGCUCUUUCUUGAUUUCGUGGUUGGUGGUGCAUGGCCGUUCUUAGUUGGUGGAGUGAUUUGUCUGGUUAAUUCCGAUAACGAACGAGACCUUAACCUGCUAAAUAGCCCGGCCGGCUUUGGCUGGUCGCUGGCUUCUUAGAGG
Molecule: ribosomal RNA, 1615 nt
Filed under: uncultured Cyphobasidiales
Lineage: Eukaryota; Fungi; Basidiomycota; Cystobasidiomycetes; Cyphobasidiales
Description: bacterial SSU rRNA
Rfam family: Eukaryotic small subunit ribosomal RNA
Source: RNAcentral